RNAcentral lists this ribosomal RNA (301 nucleotides) under uncultured bacterium. RNAcentral describes it as "partial 16S ribosomal RNA". It matches the Rfam family "Bacterial small subunit ribosomal RNA", at positions 509 to 808 of the family's 1533-position model. The record is from RNAcentral.
CAGUAGCCACGGUAACACGCAGGGGGCCAGCGUUGUCCGAAGUUACUGGGCGUAAAGAGCGCGUAGGCGGGUCUUUAAGUGAGGGGUGAAAGGUUCGGGCUCAACCCGGACACUGCCUUUCAUACUGGGGACCUUGAGUGUGGGAGAGGCGAGUGGAAUUCUUGGUGUAGCGGUGAAAUGCGUAGAUAUCAAGAGGAACACCCAUGGCGAAGGCAGCUCGCUGGCCUAUAACUGACGCUGAGGCGCGAAAGCUGGGGGAGCAAACAGGAUUAGAUACCCGGUAGUCCCUGUCUCUUAUACA